Molecule: ribosomal RNA, 163 nt
Filed under: Veronica albiflora
Lineage: Eukaryota; Viridiplantae; Streptophyta; Magnoliopsida; Lamiales; Plantaginaceae
Description: 5.8S ribosomal RNA
Rfam family: 5.8S ribosomal RNA
About the family: 5.8S ribosomal RNA (5.8S rRNA) is a component of the large subunit of the eukaryotic ribosome.
Source: RNAcentral
AUAUAAACGACUCUCGGCAACGGAUAUCUCGGCUCUCGCAUCGAUGAAGAACGUAGCGAAAUGCGAUACUUGGUGUGAAUUGCAGAAUCCCGUGAACCAUCGAGUCUUUGAACGCAAGUUGCGCCCGAAGCCUUCUGGCUGAGGGCACGCCUGCCUGGGCGUC